UACGUAGGGUGCGAGCGUUGUCCGGAAUUAUUGGCGUAAAGAGCUCGUAGGCGGUUUGUCGCGUCGAAUGUGAAAACCCGGGGGCUCAACCCCGGGCCUGCAUUCGAUACGGGCAGACUAGAGUUCGGUAGGGGAGUCUGGAAUUCCUGGUGUAGCGGUGAAAUGCGCAGAUAUCAGGAGGAACACCGGUGGCGAAGGCGGGUCUCUGGGCCGAUACUGACGCUGAGGAGCGAAAGCGUGGGGAGCGAACAGG
Molecule: ribosomal RNA, 253 nt
Filed under: uncultured bacterium
Lineage: Bacteria
Description: partial 16S ribosomal RNA
Rfam family: Bacterial small subunit ribosomal RNA
Source: RNAcentral